UUUUUAGUAAAGACAAUAACUAAUAUACAAUCAUAUGUUAUGUGCAAGCGUGGCUACCAACCUAUAGUCUUAAACCGUCAACAAAUGCAGUUUGGUGAUAUGAGCAGCAAACAGAGAUUAGAGAGGCAGCAAAGAAAGAUAACAGAAGAGACAGACGGAAAGAACACCGGAGGCGGAGAGCCACAGGAGGAGGAGCUCGAGGGACGACGACCAGCUGAAUUAGGACUGGAGGGGGCAGACGACGUCGUCGUAGCGGCAGCAGCAGGAGAAGGGAAGACUCAAACGAGGGAUCUCCGAGAGAGGAGUGUGGUAGGCAGGAAGAAAGAAUAAGGCGAGCCGAGAGCCAUUCGCAUGGAGGCGGCGAUGGAUCUGAUGCGGCGGAUGCCGCCACGGAGCGCGGAGACGGCGCUCAACGCGCUGCUCUCCCUCCUCCCCGACCACUCCCUCGACCUCCUCUCCCAGGUCGACCUCCCGCUCCAGGUUUGCAUGGAUAAGGAGAGCCUGAAGGAAUACAUUCUAUGCGAAUAUAACCGUGAUGCUGACUCCUACCGAUCUCCUUGGUCAAACAAAUAUGACCCCCCUUUGGAAGAUGGGACAGUUCCUUCUCAAGGGAUGAGGAAUCUUGAGGUUGAGGCAAACGAAGUUUUCUCAGUGUAUCGUGACCAGUACUAUGAAGGUGGCAUCUCAUCUGUUUACAUUUGGGAGGAUGAAGAUAAUGGGUUUAUCGCAUGCUUCUUAAUUAAGAAAGAUGGACAAGGAAAAAGAGGGUACAUGCAGAUUGGUUCAUGGGAUGCUAUUCAUGUUGUUCAGGUUGGUCCUGAAGAAGAAGGAGCGGCACAUUACUGCUUGAACAGCACUGUGAUGCUCUCAUUGACAACAAACAACAAGCAGUCUGGAACUUUCAACCUGUCUGGAUCCAUUAGACGGCAGAUGAGUAUGACUCUUGCUGUAGCUGAUGGACACCUUGUUAAUAUGGGGAAAAUGAUAGAAGAAAUGGAGGGGAAGCUGAGAAAUUCACUGGACCAAGUUUAUUUUGGGAAGACCAGAGAAAUGGUUUGCACUCUUCGGCCACCACCAGAAGUUCUUAAUAUGAGACUACCUGACAGCUGAGCCAGUGCAUAGAAGUGUCAACUUAACAAAGAAAAACGUAUUCUUCUCCACUCUAGGCGUGGUCUGUUCUUGCUUCGUAGUUAAUAGUCUGUGCAUCUGUAUCGACAUCUGUUGAGUGGAAUUCAGUUACCAACAGAUGAAUCUCCACAAAACGUUGUGUUGGCGUUCUGUAUCUUCUGAAGAAUCUGAUGGUGUUGUGGCUGGCCUUGCUAUCUGUCAAAGUACUAAUGCGGUGUUUGUUUUGAGGAGUCACCUCAUAUCGGAUAAGAUUGUGCAUCCUGAGUCCAUUUUAAAACCUGGUGUUUCUUAUGCUUU
Molecule: RNA transcript, 1425 nt
Organism: Zea mays
Lineage: Eukaryota; Viridiplantae; Streptophyta; Magnoliopsida; Poales; Poaceae
Exons: 9
Source: RefSeq, marked provisional